CAGCCGCCGCGGUAAUACGGAGGGUGCAAGCGUUAAUCGGAAUUACUGGGCGUAAAGCGCACGCAGGCGGUCUGUCAAGUCGGAUGUGAAAUCCCCGGGCUCAACCUGGGAACUGCAUUCGAAACUGGCAGGCUAGAGUCUUGUAGAGGGGGGUAGAAUUCCAGGUGUAGCGGUGAAAUGCGUAGAGAUCUGGAGGAAUACCGGUGGCGAAGGCGGCCCCCUGGACAAAGACUGACGCUCAGGUGCGAAAGCGUGGGGAGCAAACAGGAUUAGAGACCCCUGUAGUCCCUGUCUCUUAUAC
Molecule: ribosomal RNA, 301 nt
Filed under: uncultured bacterium
Lineage: Bacteria
Description: partial 16S ribosomal RNA
Rfam family: Bacterial small subunit ribosomal RNA
Source: RNAcentral